UAGGUGUGCGCUUUGUCUUUGGUUAGGGA
RNAcentral lists this non-coding RNA (29 nucleotides) under Mus musculus (house mouse). The record is from RNAcentral. Lineage: Eukaryota; Metazoa; Chordata; Mammalia; Rodentia; Muridae.